AAAUUUACAGCCGGGCACUUCUAAAUUAUAUUUUCCUUAUAAAAUUUUUUUAAAUAAAACACAAAAACGCUGCAUGGCUUUGAAAUUCAAGGGAUGCACAAUUUGACUAGGUACCAUACCAUUCCAAGCAGCCGCAAGCGAAAGCAAAGCAGUGACAAAAAUAUAUACACUCUGUGCCUUCGCAUGACGUAGUCCGCCUAAAAAGUGAAACGGCAAGAAAAUACAAAAACAAAACAACAACAACAGCAACAGCGACGUCAACACAGACUGAAAUCUGUGAGGUGCGCGCUGUAGCACUUGACCUGCAGCUUCAAUAUGUUGAUGCGCAGUGUGUGGCUGCUGCAGCGCCGACAACCACUUUACACACGAGCCGCUCUCCUAUGGAAUCGGCAACACUUCUCCUGGUGUCAUGGCCUGCAACGCAGUGAACAUGUGACGCUUCGGUUACAGGCUCGCAGUCGUCUGGGUGGAGGCAAAACCUGUAAUGCGUCCUCCUUGCUGCUGAUGCGCUCGAGCUCCAGUGACAAGGGGGGCGGUAUAAAUGAUAAGGCUCCUGUCGAUUCAAAUGUCCGCCAAAAAAUAGAUGAAGCAGUGAACAAAUUGCCCAACGUGCAGACGAAGAACUUUGAAAUAAAAACCUCGAAGGGCAUCCUCUCAAUAACCACCACCAUUGAGGACUCGAAGAUCAAUGAGAUUGUGUUCGAAAAGGCGGACCUCCCACCGGUGGCCAAACCCGCGUUACAUGUUAUGCCAGGCAUUGAAGUCAAAUCAGCAACAAGUUCGCCUGAGUUAGUUCCAGCGCCGCCUCAACGAAAGGACGGAGGAGAUGCUCCAGCACCAGCAACGCCUGCAGUGAAACGACCGCGCUUCGAUUACCGCAUGUCGCUCGAGCGUAAUUUUGUAACGCCUGCGCGUGCCCUAUCCGACUUCAUGCUAACCCUCAAAGACUUGGAGAAACUGCCCAAGAUAAAGCGCAGAUCGCCCUACGAACAGGAGCCACCGAUGACGGUCUAUUGGCGACGCGAUGUAGAGGCCAAGGCGCUUGAAGUGUGGGGCUCAAAGGAGGGUAUUGUGCGGGAGCGACUUAGACGUGACCUAGAGCGCAAACAGUAUCAACAGAAUGUAUUCACUGUGAAGCGUCGCCUACGUGACUAUCGACGAGAAGUGGGCUCACGAACCACGACCAUGCUGGACACGGAUAUAAAUUCUGAGAAGUCCGGACAGGUAGUUGCUACAGCCAUUGCCAUCAAUGCAGCUAAUCUACUGUUUAAGACAGGCGGCUGGUUAUACUGCGGCUCGCACAGCAUGUUUGCAGAGGUCAUUCACUCACUUGCAGAUCUGGUCAAUCAACUUAUAUUGGCCUUUGGCAUCUACAAGUCGUCACAGUUGCCCGAUACGGUUCAUCCGUAUGGCUAUAUGAACAUGCGUUACGUCUCUUCCCUCAUCUCUGGUGUGGGCAUAUUUUGUGUGGGCAGCGGCUUAUCCAUUUACCAUGGCAUCGAGGGACUGCUCAAUCCGGAAGUCAUCACUGAUCUGUUUUGGGUGUAUUGUAUUCUGGCCGGCUCCCUUGUCAGUGAGGGUGCGACCCUCGUGGUUGCCAUCAAUGAAUUGAAGCGCGCCGCCAAAGAGAAUAAACUAAGCUUUAAGGAGUAUGUUCUUACCGGAAAGGAUCCUUGUGUGAAUGUGGUACUGUGUGAGGACGCAGCUGCUGUCACUGGCGUAGUCGUCGCCGCCGGCUGCAUGGGCCUGAGCAGUUUAACUGGCUCACCAAUCUUCGAUGCGAUUGGUUCUUUGGUGAUCGGAGGAUUACUGGCUGCUGUUGCUUCCUUCAUUAUUUAUACGAAUGCCAAUGCGUUGGUUGGUGUUUCCAUCUCGAUGGAUCGCCUGGAAAAGAUCAAUGCGGCACUUGAAGCUGAUGUGAUGAUACGCGCUAUAUACGAUGUCAAGGGAAUAGACAUCGGCAAUGGACGAGUGCGUUAUAAGGCUGAGCUGGAUUUUGAUGGACGAGAGCUAACACGCUCGUAUUUGGAUAAGCAGGAUUUAAAUAAGCUACUGGCGAUUGUGCGCGGAUUUCGUAAUGUGGACGAUUUGGAGGGAUUCUUGCUGGAUCAGGGCGAGAGUAUUGUAGACCUAAUGGGUGGCGAGAUUGAUCGCAUUGAAAUGAAUCUGCGCACGCAUUUUCCAGAAAUUCGACAUGUCGAUCUUGAAAUACUCUAAAGCCCUCCUUGUUGGCUGUUAACUGAAGAAUAUAUUAGUUUGGACCUGACGGCUCUCAAUCAAAAUUUCCUGUUUAACAUAUAUAUAUAUAUAUUAGGAUAUAUAUAUGUAAAUGAUAUAUAUCUAUUCGUACGUGCAUAUAUAUAUACAGUAAUUUCGGUUCUGUACUUGAGUGGACUACCGUAGUUAGAUGUUUGGUAUAUGUCUGGCUGGCUUAUUUUAUUAAUAUUAUUGUUCUCGGUUUUAGUGCAAAGAUGCAACAUUGUAUGGUAUCUUAU
This 2495-nucleotide unclassified non-coding RNA is filed under the name Drosophila mojavensis. RNAcentral's name for it is "GI18486". The record is from RNAcentral. Lineage: Eukaryota; Metazoa; Arthropoda; Insecta; Diptera; Drosophilidae.